Molecule: ribosomal RNA, 301 nt
Filed under: uncultured bacterium
Lineage: Bacteria
Description: partial 16S ribosomal RNA
Rfam family: Bacterial small subunit ribosomal RNA
Source: RNAcentral
CAGCAGCCGCGGUAAUACGUAGGGGGCAAGCGUUGUCCGGAAUUAUUGGGCGUAAAGCGCGCGCAGGCGGUCAUUUAAGUCUGGUGUUUAAUCCCGGGGCUCAACCCCGGAUCGCACUGGAAACUGGGUGACUUGAGUGCAGAAGAGGAGAGUGGAAUUCCACGUGUAGCGGUGAAAUGCGUAGAUAUGUGGAGGAACACCAGUGGCGAAGGCGACUCUCUGGGCUGUAACUGACGCUGAGGCGCGAAAGCGUGGGGAGCAAACAGGAUUAGAUACCCCUGUAGUCCCUGUCUCUUAUACA